This 63-nucleotide transfer RNA is filed under the name Scirtidae sp. GENSP01. RNAcentral describes it as "tRNA-Asp". The record is from RNAcentral. Lineage: Eukaryota; Metazoa; Arthropoda; Insecta; Coleoptera; Scirtidae.
AAAAAAUUAGUUAAUUUAUAACGUUAGAUUGUCAAUCUAAAAUAAUUCAAUAAAUAUUUUUUA